RNAcentral lists this ribosomal RNA (406 nucleotides) under uncultured bacterium. Its description in RNAcentral is "partial 16S ribosomal RNA". It matches the Rfam family "Bacterial small subunit ribosomal RNA", at positions 28 to 526 of the family's 1533-position model. The record is from RNAcentral.
GAUGAACGCUGGCGGCGUGCCUAAUACAUGCAAGUCGAACGAGUGGCAGACGGGUGAGAAAUGUCUGGGAACCUGCCCGAUGGAGGGGGAUAACUCCUGGAAACGGGAGCUAAUACCGAAAACCAUCAGAUGUGCCCAGAUGGGAUUCGCCUGUUGGUGGGGUAAAGGCUAACAAAGGCCACGAUCCCUGGCUGUUCUGCGAGGAUGACCGGCCACACUGGAACUGUGACACGGUCCAGACUCCUACGGGAGGCAGCAGUGGGUAAUCUUGCGCAAUGGGCGCAAGCCUGAUGCAGCCAUGCCGCGUGUAUGAUGAAGGCCUUCGGGUUGUAAAGUACUUUCAGCGGGGAAGCGUUACCCACAGAGGAAGCACCGGCUAACUCCGUGCCAGCAGCCGCGGUAAUAC